AAAUGGUAACUAAAUCACAUAUACCCGCUGCAAAUACUCCUGCUCGUAUUGAAAUACCACAAAAUGGUGGAACGGCAGUUGAUACACGUGAAUCAGGAAAACGUUUAAAGCGCGGUAGACCUAUUGGUUCAAAGGAUAAACUUCCUAGAAAACGUAAGGAAUGUGAAAAGCAUGAUACUCCCAAAAUAACAGAAAAUAUUUUGGACGAAGAAAAUUGUGAAUCUAAUGACAAUAUAAAGCAUCUUGAAUCUGAAGGAAAUCAUGAGAUUUCUAUCAAUUACAUCCAUAAUGGAAAGAUAUGGAAACGAAAUGAGAUGGAUGAUAUUGAUGACGUUUUCUCAUACCUUUUAGCAAAGGAAAUAAAUGAAGAAAACGAAGAUCCAGAACCAAAGUCUGUAUAUGAAUGUCAAAAGAGACAUGACUGGAUAAAAUGGAAAGAUGCAAUUCAAGUCUAAUUAGAUUCGCUUAACAAACGAAAUGUAUUCGGAACUAUUGUGCUCACACCCAAAGAUGUAAAACCAGUUGGGUACAAAUGGGUGUUUGUCCGAAAAAGAAAUGAGAAAAACGAGAUUACAAGAUACAAAGCUCGUCUCGUAGCCCAAGGUUUCUCUCAAAGGCCAGGAAUUGAUUAUGAGGAAACUUAUUCUCCUGUCAUGGACACAAUCACAUUUAGAUUCCUGAUGAGCCUAGCGGCCAAUGAAAAUUUAGAAAUGCGUCUCAUGGAUGUCGUUACGGCAUAUUUAUAUGGAUCAUUAGAUACUGAUAUCUAUAUGAGAAUCCCAGAUGGAUUUAAAAUGCCAGAAACGUUAAGUUCCAAACCUAAAGAGUUAUGUGCAAUAAAAUUGCAAAGAUCAUUAUAUGGGUUAAAACAAUCUGGACGAAUGUGGUAUAAUCGUCUCAGCGAACACUUAACAAAAGAAGGAUACACGAAUGAUCCUAUAUGCCCUUGUGUUUUCAUAAAGAAAACAACAUCCGGAUUUGUGAUAAUCGCGGUGUACGUUGAUGAUCUUAAUAUUAUUGGAACUCAAAACGAAAUCCAAAAGGCAUCAAACUAUCUGAAAGGAGAAUUUGAGAUGAAAGAUCUCGGCCAGACAAAAUAUUGUCUAGGAUUACAAAUUGAGCAUUCUCGAAAGGGUAUAUUUGUACACCAGUCUACAUAUACCAAACGAGUAUUGAAACGCUUUAACAUGGAUAAAGCAACUCCUCUUAGCACCCCGAUGGUCGUUAGAUCACUUAAUGUUGAAAAUGAUCCGUUUCGACCAUCUGAGGAAAAUGAAGAAAUACUUGGUCCUGAAACUCCAUACUUAAGUGCAAUUGGAGCUCUUAUGUAUCUUGCAAAUUGUACUCGACCUGACAUAUCUUUUGCCAUUAAUCUUUUAGCGAGAUUCAGUUCGUCUCCUACGCGAAGACAUUGGAAUGGAAUUAAACAUGUCUUUUGUUACCUUCAAGGAACGACUGAUUUAGGCUUGUUUUAUCCUAAAAGUUCAAAAGGUCAAAUGAUUGGUUUUGCAGAUGCAGGUUAUUUGUCAGAUCCACACAAAGCUCGAUCCCAGACAGGAUAUGUUUUUACAAUUGGAGGCACCGCCAUAUCUUGGCGUUCUCAGAAGCAGACACUUGUUGCUACUUCUUCAAAUCACGCUGAGAUCAUUGCACUCCAUGAAGCAAGUAGAGAAUGUGUAUGGCUAAGAUCAAUAAGCCGACACAUCUGUUCAAGCAGUGGGAUUAACGAAAAUACGGAGCCAACUAUUCUAUAUGAAGAUAACGCGGCAUGUGUUGCUCAAACGAAGGAAGGAUAUAUCAAAAGCGAUAGAACCAAACAUAUACCUCCGAAGUUCUUCUCAUACACUCAAGAGCUCGAGAAGAAUAAAGAGAUUGAAGUAAGAUAUGUUCGAUCAUGCGACAAUGCAGCCGACCUCUUCACAAAAUCACUCCCUACCUCGGUAUUCAGAAAACACAUCCAUAACAUUGGAAUGCGUAAUCAGAAGGAUAUAUGACUGCUUAAUCGAGGGGGAGCUUACGUAGUUGUACUCUUUUUACCUUGCUAUGGUUUUUCCCAUUGGGUUUUCCUAAAAAGGUUUUUAACGAGGCAACAAAGACAUUAAGCGAGAGCGGAUAGUGACACCGGCCCCCAAGGGGGAGUGUCAUGAAAGUCAUAUAGAGACAGCGUCGAAUAUGUUGAAAAUAUAAAGGAUGUGGGGUCCGCUGCACUAUUUGCACAGUAAAUUUCUUUUCUAUAUAUACGAUCGAUUUCGAUCAUCUGUAAGAUCAUCAUUCACUCUUCUCUACUCUCUAUAAUAAACUCUUUCUAUCAGUGUUAAAAAUUCUACGGAUAUAAAAUUUGCCCUUAUUUAAAUCCCCGCGAUACAAUAAAAUUAUGGUUCCUUUUAUAACAAACAUGACUUUUUUUGUAACCAUGGAGAUUCAAAAAGCUUUCUUAGUGCAAAUAUUAAUCCUACGAAACUUUGUAUAUAGGUACACAACUAAUCCACUAAGUAGCACGGCUGCGUGGCCAAAUUUCAAGCCAUCGCUAUGACUUUUUGUUUUUUGUUUUUUUUUGUAACAAUGUUAAAUCUUUAUUACCAUUUUCAAGUUUUAGAUAGAACUACAAGGGAUACAAGGAACAGAAGAUGCAAGAAAUUAAGCUAAACAACAACUCAAUCUAAGCAAAACAAGGCUAACUACAACUACAAGCAAAGCAACAACAAGACCAUAUACUACACCAAAGUCAUCACAAACUCUUCCCACAAAAUUGGAACCACAGUUAAAACGAGAACUGAACCCGGUAGAUUUGGCAGUACCCGCUGAUCAGUUCUUAAUGAUUAGCUCCUCAAGAACAGCUCGAGAGAGACCUCCUUGUCGGCAGCAACCAUAGACAGUGGGCAACGCUGAGCAAGCUCACCCGCGUAGACAGAGACGAGCUUUACUUGGAAAGAAAGAGCACCCGAGAUCACCACACGCCAUGGACCUUCACCAAGAGACAGAGAAAGCCAGCACCACUUCAGAGAAGUGGACAUGAGACAGCUCUAGAUCAUACCCCUGAAAGCUAACUGGCUCAGCACGAGCGCCACCGAGACAGAGAGUUACGGUUGACAAGACCAUCAACAAACCGCCUCUCUCGCACUCACCACGGAGAACCCGCAGCAGAACCUCCUAGCUUGGGACAGUAUCUCUGGGGCCCGUCCGAGAGCUUGACUGACCGGCCUUAAAACACAAGCCGUCGGGAUCUAAGAAAAACAAGCGGAAGAACACCGAACCUCCACCGUCAGACAAGACCCAACACCGGUGCAAGCCAAGCGAGCUAGCUCACCCACCACGAGAAGGAGGAGCAAGGCAGCGAGAAAUGGGAACAAACCACUUCGAACGGUCAGAUCUGACACCAAAUCCAGACUGCCGCUGCCGUACUCAACCAAAGAAACCUCUCACCAACACCGCCUCCAUGCUUCACUGAAACUCCGAGCAAAAACCGCCAGAUCUGAAACCGCGGUGGCGAAGAAGCUUAGAGCUGCGAGAAAAGAAGCACAAAGGAAAAGAAUUGAAGAGAAGCAAAGAAGGAGAAAAACAAAAGGGAGGGGGGGGCAGCCGGAAGCGGAGAGGAAGCCGCCGGCCACCCAAAACACAGAUCUAGAUCUAGGGUUUUUUUGGGUUCUUAGAGAUGGAAGAGAGGAAAAAGGAGGUAGAGAGAGAAAGCUCUUCUCGCCCUAAAGUUGUCGUCGCGUGUGAAAAUGUAUUCACUUUUU
Molecule: long non-coding RNA, 3737 nt
Filed under: Brassica napus (rape)
Lineage: Eukaryota; Viridiplantae; Streptophyta; Magnoliopsida; Brassicales; Brassicaceae
Description: long non-coding RNA (BNAP_LNC012148)
Source: RNAcentral